RNAcentral lists this ribosomal RNA (821 nucleotides) under uncultured bacterium. RNAcentral describes it as "bacterial SSU rRNA". It matches the Rfam family "Bacterial small subunit ribosomal RNA", at positions 53 to 874 of the family's 1533-position model. The record is from RNAcentral.
ACAUGCAAGUCGAGGGGUAACAUUAGUGCUUGCACUAGAUGACGACCGGCGCACGGGUGCGUAACGCGUAUAGAAUCUACCUUUUACAGGGGGAUAGCCUUUAGAAAUGAAGAUUAAUAUCCCAUAGUAUUGCGAAGUGGCAUCACUUUGUAAUUAAAGAUUUAUCGGUAAAAGAUGACUAUGCGUCCUAUUAGUUAGUUGGUAAGGUAACGGCUUACCAAGACUUCGAUAGGUAGGGGUCCUGAGAGGGAGAUCCCCCACACUGGUACUGAGACACGGACCAGACUCCUACGGGAGGCAGCAGUGAGGAAUAUUGGGCAAUGGAGGUAACUCUGACCCAGCCAUGCCGCGUGCAGGAAGACUGCCCUAUGGGUUGUAAACUGCUUUUAUACAGGAAGAAACACUGCUACGUGUAGCAGCUUGACGGUACUGUAAGAAUAAGGACCGGCUAACUCCGUGCCAGCAGCCGCGGUAAUACGGAGGGUCCGAGCGUUAUCCGGAAUCAUUGGGUUUAAAGGGUCCGCAGGCGGUCAAUUAAGUCAGAGGUGAAAUCCCAUAGCUUAACUAUGGAACUGCCUUUGAUACUGGUUGACUUGAGUCAUAUGGAAGUAGAUAGAAUGUGUAGUGUAGCGGUGAAAUGCAUAGAUAUUACACAGAAUACCGAUUGCGAAGGCAGUCUACUACGUAUGUACUGACGCUCAUGGACGAAAGCGUGGGGAGCGAACAGGAUUAGAUACCCUGGUAGUCCACGCCGUAAACGAUGGACACUAGUUGUUGGGCAUUAGCUCAGUGACUAAGCGAAAGUGAUAAGUGUCCCACCU